RNAcentral lists this ribosomal RNA (320 nucleotides) under uncultured eukaryote. Its description in RNAcentral is "partial 18S ribosomal RNA". It matches the Rfam family "Eukaryotic small subunit ribosomal RNA", at positions 1470 to 1796 of the family's 1831-position model. The record is from RNAcentral.
CCCCUAGAUGUUCUGGGCCGCACGCGCGCUACACUGAACAGUUCAACAAGUCUUAACCUUGGCCGAUAGGUCUGGGUAAUCUUUGAACGCUGUUCGUGAUUGGGAUAGACCUUUGCAAUUAUGGGUCUUCAACGAGGAAUUCCUAGUAAGCGCAAGUCAUCAGCUUGCAUUGAUUACGUCCCUGCCCUUUGUACACACCGCCCGUCGCACCUACCGAUUGAAUGGUCCGGUGAAAUCUCGGGACGGCGGCUUGGUCGCUUGCGUCCGACUGCUGAAACUUGAUUAAACCAUAUCAUUUAGAGGAAGGUGAANUCGUANCA